Molecule: long non-coding RNA, 1046 nt
Organism: Peromyscus maniculatus bairdii (prairie deer mouse)
Lineage: Eukaryota; Metazoa; Chordata; Mammalia; Rodentia; Cricetidae
Source: RefSeq, a predicted model, not a curated record
GCUUUUUUAGCAGACUUGGCCAGACUUCAAACCAGUAGCUGCUCCCCGUGAUGGAAUUCAGAAGUGUUUUAUCUGGCCAACUCUAUGUUAGCUCUUCAUCUGAACCGCUCCAGACACAGCGCGUUGCCCCAUACUCGAGAAGUCCCACUGCUCCAGCCUACAACACUCAACCCCCACCUGCUUAUCUACACCAGCGUGUCUGGGUGCCCCCGACUCUAGGUCUCCCAGCCUUAGGACACGGUAAGGGAACUUUUUGGUGAAAGUUUUGAAGGGGUGAAGGUAAUGGGCUCAAGUUCAAGGAGAAUGGACCAUCUUCUUAACGUAACCAAGCAACUGAGUGAGAGUUAAGAAGGGUGAUGUGAGGUUAUCACGAAAGAGAGGCUAGGGGAGUGGCUUGGUGGUAUAGAACCCAUGCUUAGCAUGCACAAGGCACUAGGUUCCAUCCUCAGCGUCAUAAAUACGUGAACGAACUUGGCAGUUCUGUUCCACGAACCUGCCCAGUGAGCUUUCUGAGUUUUCAGCGCUGCCGCUUGCUUGAGAGUCUAAGCCUUCUACAUCACCAGAAAAGAGGAUGCGCCCUGCCCCAAGCCCUGCACAAAGGCAGCCAGUUUCCCUCUUUGUGGAGCAGGGCAUGACGGUAAAUCUCUCUCCUAAUCCCAGAUGCAGAGGCUUUCCUUUCCUGAAAAUUCCAAUGGAGGUGUCCCUACAUUCACUCUACUAGGAUGCAGACAAUGUACAUAAACAAGGCAUUUUCUGAGACUUAACUUGAAAUUCAAAGUCAAGACUGCAGUACAAGUGGGAUUCCAUGUCACACGUCCUUGACCUUGCAGGGCAGACAAGAGUGAAGGCUUCAUGCUCAGUGGAUCAUAUAAGAAGACAACUUAAGAAGGAAUUCAGGGACAGUGAAAGUCCCUUUAAAGAGAUUCCUGGAAAAGUUUCUAGACCUAACUUCUCUGAGAAGUUAUAAGGGAAUCCUUAUUUGUUAAAAAUCAGCUCUGUUUAAAAAUAUCAACAACAAUAAAUGUUUAAGAUCAAUGGUUCUCAAA